UCCCGUAUGAGUCUCGGCGGACGGGUGAGUAACACGUGGGCAACCUGCCUGUAAGACUGGGAUAACUCCGGGAAACCGGGGCUAAUACCGGAUAAUUCAUUCCCUCACAUGAGGGAAUGCUGAAAGACGGCAUCUCGCUGUCACUUACAGAUGGGCCCGCGGCGCAUUAGCUAGUUGGUGAGGUAACGGCUCACCAAGGCCACGAUGCGUAGCCGACCUGAGAGGGUGAUCGGCCACACUGGGACUGAGACACGGCCCAAACUCCUACGGGAGGCAGCAGUAGGGAAUCUUCCGCAAUGGACGAAAGUCUGACGGAGCAACGCCGCGUGAGCGAAGAAGGCCUUCGGGUCGUAAAGCUCUGUUGUCAGGGAAGAACAAGUACCGGAGUAACUGCCGGUACCUUGACGGUACCUGACCAGAAAGCCACGGCUAACUACGUGCCAGCAGCCGCGGUAAUACGUAGGUGGCAAGCGUUGUCCGGAAUUAUUGGGCGUAAAGCGCGCGCAGGCGGUCCUUUAAGUCUGAUGUGAAAGCCCACGGCUCAACCGUGGAGGGUCAUUGGAAACUGGGGGACUUGAGUGCAGAAGAGGAGAGCGGAAUUCCACGUGUAGCGGUGAAAUGCGUAGAGAUGUGGAGAAACACCAGUGGCGAAGGCGGCUCUCUGGUCUGUAACUGACGCUGAGGCGCGAAAGCGUGGGGAGCGAACAGGAUUAGAUACCCUGGUAGUCCACGCCGUAAACGAUGAGUGCUAAGUGUUAGAGGGUUUCCGCCCUUUUAGUGCUGCAGCAAACGCAUUAAGCACUCCGCCUGGGGAGUACGGCCGCAAGGCUGAAACUCAAAGGAAUUGACGGGGGCCCGCACAAGCGGUGGAGCAUGGUGGUUUAAUUUCGAAGCACGCGAGAACCUUACCAGGUCU
This 916-nucleotide ribosomal RNA is filed under the name Mesobacillus foraminis. RNAcentral describes it as "bacterial SSU rRNA". It matches the Rfam family "Bacterial small subunit ribosomal RNA", at positions 82 to 981 of the family's 1533-position model. Lineage: Bacteria; Bacillati; Bacillota; Bacilli; Caryophanales; Bacillaceae. The record is from RNAcentral.